AACGAACGCUGGCGGCAUGCCUAACACAUGCAAGUCGAACGAGACCUUCGGGUCUAGUGGCGCACGGGUGCGUAACGCGUGGGAACCUGCCCUUAGGUUCGGAAUAACUCCCCGAAAGGGGUGCUAAUACCGGAUAAUGUCUUCGGACCAAAGAUUUAUCGCCUUGGGAUGGGCCCGCGUUGGAUUAGCUAGUUGGUAGGGUAAAAGCCUACCAAGGCGACGAUCCAUAGCUGGUCUGAGAGGAUGAUCAGCCACACUGGGACUGAGACACGGCCCAGACUCCUACGGGAGGCAGCAGUGGGGAAUAUUGGACAAGGGGCGAAGGCCUGAUCCAGCAAUGCCGCGUGAGUGAUGAAGGCCUUAGGGUUGUAAAGCUCUUUUAGCCGGGAUGAUAAUGACAGUACCGGGAGAAUAAGCGCCGGCUAACUCCGUG
Molecule: ribosomal RNA, 433 nt
Filed under: uncultured bacterium
Lineage: Bacteria
Description: partial 16S ribosomal RNA
Rfam family: Bacterial small subunit ribosomal RNA
Source: RNAcentral